This 395-nucleotide ribosomal RNA is filed under the name grassland soil clone saf1_316. Its description in RNAcentral is "bacterial SSU rRNA". It matches the Rfam family "Bacterial small subunit ribosomal RNA", at positions 45 to 484 of the family's 1533-position model. The record is from RNAcentral.
GGCUUAACACAUGCAAGUCGAACGCGUGUAGCAAUACACGAGUGGCGCACGGGUGAGUAACGCGUGGAUAUCUGCCUUUUGGUUCGGAAUAACCCCGGGAAACUGGGGCUAAUACCGGAUGGUUCCUACGGGAUAAAGAUUUAUCGCCAAAAGAUGAGUCCGCGUACGAUUAGCUAGUUGGUGAGGUAAUGGCUCACCAAGGCGACGAUCGUUAGCUGGUCUGAGAGGACGAUCAGCCACACUGGGACUGAGACACGGCCCAGACUCCUACGGGAGGCAGCAGUGGGGAAUAUUGGACAAUGGGGGCAACCCUGAUCCAGCCAUGCCGCGUGAGUGAUGAAGGCCUUCGGGUUGUAAAGCUCUUUUGGCGGGGACGAUGAUGACGGUACCCGCAG